RNAcentral lists this long non-coding RNA (352 nucleotides) under Mustela putorius furo (domestic ferret). RNAcentral's name for it is "lncRNA (ENSMPUG00000030674.1)". The record is from RNAcentral. Lineage: Eukaryota; Metazoa; Chordata; Mammalia; Carnivora; Mustelidae.
UGGAGCUCAAUGCCCGGUGCGUGGAGAAUACGUGACCAAUGGCUGUCAACAUAUGAUGAUCUUGCUCCCAAGGGACAUCUGGCAGCACCGGGACACAUCACGGGAUUGUCAUGAUGAGCAGGGCCCACUCCUGGGUACCACCUAGGACCCCUUCCGGAUCUGCUGCAUGCAGCCAGGAGCACCCGGGCUCCUCUGCUGAAAGGGCCGAGCCCCCUGUGCUUCUACUCGCUUUCCACCGUGUCUCAUGGAAUCGAGAUGAUGUGUCUCUCAGGUUGUGGAACCUUUGCACUUGGACCCUGCUCACAAAAAGCCCUCUUCACUCACUAGGGUGGACUGUCUAAUAGAAAUAAAA